GAUACAUAAUACGCCCAAUGGAUCGCGCAGCAAGAAGUUGAUAACAUCCAAACUAAAUCCCCAGCAUGGAUCCCGCCUCUCCCAAUGGCGACAUGGGCUUCUGGGUAUCACCGGCAGGCUCCUCCUGAGCUGGAUUCUGGAGCUUGCUUUUUGGAUAGUCCGCCUUCUUUUCUUCUUCUCCCUCUACUUCCUCAUCUUCCUCCUCCUCACCCUCCUCGUCCGCGUCUUCCUCUUCUUCAGCAGCCUGUUCGGCCUGGAAGAACCCCGUAUACAACACAUAUCCCACAAACAUCCCUAGGCCAGCCAAUACAGUUGCUAUCGACGUAUAUAACUCUCGUCGCUGCAUCGUGGCGACCUUCGCUGCUAUCUCCUUCUCCUCACAGGGGCCCUGCGCCUGCUCUCCCGCCCGUUGCAAUCUAGCGUUGGCUCUGAUCUGCUGCACAAUUGGUAUCGAAUCCGCUAUCCCUUCCAACGCCCGCUUUCCCAUUGCUCCAAGGCUAACCAGCUCCGGAGCUCGCCAAGGCAGGCUCGAUGCCACCCCCACGCUCUCUGAAAACGCCAUGGACACCUCCACUGGCACAUCGCCAAAACACCGCGACCGUAAUCGGGCUACAUAGGCCACUAAUUGCGGUCCGUGUUCCGUGACAGCAUCUCUCAACCACGGGUUUGGAAGGUUUGGAACUAAGGCCAGGGAGAGAUAACCCAACGCCAAACAAUCUUGACUCGACGGAAUUUCCGAUGAUAACAGAUACCCUUUCCGCCCCAGAAGCUCUUCUAGAGGUGCCACAAAUGCGCUGGCCAUGCCCUCCAGUCGUAUCUGGUUUUGUUUUGAAGACCUGUUUAAAAUAUCGCUCACUGUCGCCUGGCGCUUGCGGAUAAGGCUUUUGGGGAUUUUGCUUGCUAGGCUACUGGGAUCCCGCGCUUGAUGUCUCUGCUCCUCCACCAUCACAUCGACAUCAAGGGAUGUAAGACCGAGAUAUUCUGUGCGUUUCUUAGCCAGUUUUCGAAUUUGUGGUGGCGUUAUCCAUUGGCUGGGCCAUUGGAGAAACGAUGCAUAGGCCUGGGAAGUCGCAUUGUUAUAAUUAUCACUCGACACGUAUAAGGAAAGGUCAAUCAAUGGCUGGCCUUGGGAUUCGAGAAAGGAUGAGAACCUGUUAUCGCCACUGUUAAGUCCUGUAAUGCAAUUCAUAUGCUUUGCUUUCAAAAUGAAAUUAGAUUUGGUAGAAACAUGCACAUACGCUAUGCAAUCUGCUUUCUCUUUUUGACCCAUCCACCGAUCCAAGUCCCAUUCUCCGUCAGAGUAUUGGCUUAGGUAUGCUACGAUGUUCCUGAAUCGACUGAUCCACCUCGUUCCGGUCCAUAACGCUGGUAGUUCAUCUGCAAAUACCCAUUAAUUAGCAUCCGUAUUCUGGUCUCAUAGUAUUUUUAAUCAGUAAAGGAGACGGAUAAGCCGCAUACACCUUAAAAGGAAAGCGAGCAAGGCGGAAAACAGCAGCGAAUCUGAUAUGUGAAAUGACAAGGUCGUUACUCACUAGUUGGAACCAUACCAGGAUCGCUGUCCGCUACCAACACCCACUGUUCCUGUUCCCCAUCAGAACCUCUUAACUUCAUGGGGACGGCCAAAGCAAAAUAUGCAACCAUCGAAAUACAUUGUGGGUCGAUCGAAGGCAGCCCAAAUGCUGGGCCCCAAAUAUGUAGUUCGAAUACCAUAGUUUGUUUUUCUCCUUUUAUUUCCUUCCUUUGACAAGCUCCCUUGUUCUAGUCCUUUCCUCCCUCCUGUUCCUUCAGUCCCACGCGCCAGACACCCUCAUAUAUGGCUAGGUUUGCGUUGAGUUUGUUGUGCACAGGUUAUGGCGUACCUAUUUCCGCGAACCGAUUUGAUUUUGCUAUCCAACAAAUAUGAACGUAUAUACUCAGGUGUGCACCUGGAAAGGAGCUGGAGAAGCUCUGAAAUCGUUGGGAGUGUUUCUGACACUGUUCACCAGCCUGAGAGUGAACGGCACGGCUCUAUUGAUGGAGGACGGAGGUUGCUAAUAAUACAAAUGAGGUAGUCGAUUUCCUCCACCGCAUAAGACGUAUUGAUCACAAUCGUGCUGGGAGGUGCCCGAGGUUCCACUUUCUUGUUCAUAUCGUCCACGUGAUAUGGUCUGUCUUUGACCUUCAAAGCCACC
Molecule: small RNA, 2171 nt
Filed under: Histoplasma capsulatum
Lineage: Eukaryota; Fungi; Ascomycota; Eurotiomycetes; Onygenales; Ajellomycetaceae
Also listed under: 1 other name
Description: hypothetical RNA
Source: RNAcentral